CCAACAUCUCUAUGGGGCAGAGGAGGAGGCCAGGUUCAGAGAGGCUUAGCUAUUGCUAUGUUGACUAGAGUGGAUCUGAACUUGUGAUCCUCCUGCCUCAACCUCCCUGAGUGCUGGGAUGACAGGCGAGCACCAUCAGGCCCGCCAGGAAGGACAGAUCUGUGUGUGCCAAGGUUCUCCCCUCCCCUGAGCUCUUGAGUCAGGAGCAGCAUUUGAGAUGCAUCAUGACUGAGUCAGAAGAAAGCAGAAAAGCCAUAAAAGCACCUCCCUGUGUGAGGCCAGCUCCUAAGAGAGAAACGGGAAGCAAAUCAAUGGGCCGAAGCUGCUCCGAGAGGGUCCCCGGAUGCCUGAAGUGUCCGGAGGAAACACCUGCCUGCAGCGUGAUGUCACCCAGGACCUCUCAGCAGGGACAGAGCGCCUAGCAUCCACUUCAGCAAGCUGACAGUGCAGCCCCGCGUGGGCGCCACCCUCUUCCUGCCCUCCAGAGGGGACAAAGGACCUCACGGAGGAGCAGGGCGGGAAAGCGCCUCAGCACUCAAGGCUGAGACAGGAGGAUCGCUACGCAUUUGACGCCAGCCUGGGCUACCUAGUGAGUGCAAGGCCAGACCCUGUGCUGCUGUGACCUACACUGUCCCCUGUCCCUCUGCACUGCUGCUGGAUUCCUGGAGAUGGAGCCAGGCCUGGGCGCCAUAGCAACGCCCCAUGUCAGUGAAUGAAUGAAAGGGUGGGUGGAUGGGUGGAUGAGGGGGUGACUGUGUUAUGCCGCAGGGCCCAGGAAUAAAGGGGCCGCUGCGCUGCCUGCCCUGCCUCCCCCGGGUGUGGCUGACUUUCCUCCUGGCCCUGGGGCCAUCUUGGCUUCUUGUUAACUUCUAGCGGCCUUGUUUCUUAUCUUAUUUUUAAUUUAGUGCAAACUUUUAAAAGUGCAAAUAUCUGAUAAAAAAGCAGGCUCACUGGCUCAGUUGUCACCUUCCAGCAAAAGAGCUCACUUUAUACAAUUUUUCUGUCCUUUUUUUCCCCAGUGGAUGGGCUUCCACAGGAGCACGUUUUUUUUGGGUUUUUUUAGAAAAGGUCUCACUAUGUAACCCAGGCUGGCCUUGAACUCACAGCAACCCUCCUGCCUCAGCCUCCCUAACACUGGGAUUACCGGCAUGUGCCAUCACACUGAGUUUAUACAUUUCAGUCUGUCUUUUUGGCCCUGAUAAAGUAAGACUCUUCAGCCUUCCAAA
Molecule: long non-coding RNA, 1226 nt
Organism: Cavia porcellus (domestic guinea pig)
Lineage: Eukaryota; Metazoa; Chordata; Mammalia; Rodentia; Caviidae
Exons: 3
Source: RefSeq, a predicted model, not a curated record